This 353-nucleotide ribosomal RNA is filed under the name Parvocalanus crassirostris. Its description in RNAcentral is "partial 28S ribosomal RNA". The record is from RNAcentral. Lineage: Eukaryota; Metazoa; Arthropoda; Copepoda; Calanoida; Paracalanidae.
GAGAGUUCAAGAGUACGUGAAACUGUGUGGUGGUAAACGGAGGUGUUCUCGAAGUUUCCGUAGGGAACUCAGCCUUAAGGCGGGGCAGCCUGGUUGUGUCCGAUCAGCAAUGACGGCGCGGCUUUGUCGGCUCUGCCUGCGGGUGCAUUUCCCCUGCGGUUUACGGCAGGAACCCUUGAGAGUGGACCAAAGGCGUUGGGAGAAGUUAUAGGCCUAGCUUGUAGCCCCGGCUGUCCUGGCUUCACACUCGAGGGGUAUUGGAGGCGACUCGUAUAGCGAGCAAUGCUCUGUUGCGGUUGCCAUCUCUCUGCCGAGUAGGUUGGCGGCACCUCCGACCCGUCUUGAAACACGGA